Molecule: unclassified non-coding RNA, 1497 nt
Filed under: Leishmania donovani
Lineage: Eukaryota; Euglenozoa; Kinetoplastea; Trypanosomatida; Trypanosomatidae
Description: gene:LdHU3.26.3010(CDS-product:hypothetical_prote in_conserved)
Source: RNAcentral
CGCUCCAACAGCUUUCUUGGAUGCAUGUGAAAAAUAAAGCCGCUAGUCAUGCUUCGAUGCGCACAGCACUUGGCGCUUUCGUGCGCGUUAUCCACUCGCCGAAGCACGCACACAUUGAACAUAUUAGACUCCGCCGUUGUGAAUCACCCACAGUCCGGCCAACAGUUGGUGCAGCCCGCUGAGGUUAUCAAGGAAACAGUGCACCAGAGCAAAGACGAAGAUACGCUGAAAAAUUGCAGCGUCGACCCAGAGGAUGUGAAUGUGAUGAACAAGAGGGAUAUUGAGUGUAUUGAGCUGCGCAAGCUCCAGUACAUGCACUCGCAGCACGGGCCAUUUAUCGGUUCGCAGACGAAGGACAGCACACCAGAUCAAGUAAGCUUCCGCAAGCGUAGACACAUCGUUCGAGUUCCUCAACCGGAGGUGGAAUACCGUCCGAACGAAACAUCGUUUAGGCGCCUCCCAAAAAACUACAUUAUCCCCAAUGAGUUCGAGCUUCGCGUACUAUAUCCGAUGUCGACAAGCCUAAAGAUCGUCGAAGGAAAAGCUGACUGCGUCGAUCACAGUGCAUUCAGCGUUGACGAAGAUCCAUCGCCCAUCGCGUACAGUAUGAUAGCGCCGCCAGAUUGGAAGCCGGAUGUGGAGCACCCAUACAUGGUUGUGCUCCCCGAUCACCGCGGUAUUCCGCGUGACUUUGAGGAUGUGUGCGCCAACUUUUUCGAGCGCCCCACUCAUUACGAAUUGAUGGCGCAGCAAAGGUGGGUUAUUCUGUCCCCCGUUGUGAAUCUUCGACAUAAUAUGCAUGUUCCUGUGGAGGGGGUGGUGGCGAGAUUCUGCGAUUGGGUGAAAGACAACUUCCGCGUCGAAAAUGGGAAGGUGCAUCUUUUCGGCAAAGGCAACGGUGGCUAUGUUGCAUUGCGAACCGUGCUGGAGCACAAAGACGUAGCCCUUAGUGUCACCGCCAUUCUAGGCCGCAGCGGCUCACCUUUUAGGCCACUCGAUCGAGCACAAGAUAAGGUGAAGAGCUAUAAUGGUGUUCACAGUCUUGUGUAUGUGCCUGGGCUGCUGAGGAAGCAAGACUGGUACUACAAGUUCAAGUUCAUGCUGGACAUGGCACGGGUGCGCCCACCUCUUAGGAAUAUUCAUUUUGCUGAUGUACGGGACCAUCAAGUGUACUACGCCAUUAAUCCACAGGAGUUUUGGAACUAUAUGCAGUAUUUUCGCAAGUACAACAUACGGAUGAUUACAGAGAGUGGCUAUUCCAUUUAGCGUCUACAGACUAUACACCAAGCGAGCGAGAGUUUUUUUUUCUGGGAAACAUCAUCUUUUAUCGUUUUUUUUUCACCGUUGCAUGUGUGUCGAGGCCGAGAGUUUAUGAUGCGGGAAUCAUGUUUUUUUUUUUUGGAUGUACUGCAUUACCUUAGAGCAACGUGUUCUCCACGUUUUUUUGCAGUGUUUGCCACCUUUUUUCAGCUUUUCAAUGCUUGCAAACAGACACCG